Long non-coding RNA from Priapulus caudatus, 241 nucleotides. RefSeq lists it as uncharacterized. Lineage: Eukaryota; Metazoa; Priapulida; Priapulimorpha; Priapulimorphida; Priapulidae. The record is from RefSeq and is a predicted model, not a curated record. The transcript has 3 exons.
CGAGUAUCUACCGGACAAGUUCCACGUUGCUUGCGAGUUGGCCGUCGACUUUGCCGGACCCAUAAUUAUAGAUCUGUUUACCGUGAGCGUUACUUCUGAUAUAGUUUGCGCUAGCUUGGACAUAUGUUACAAUGAUAAAGGUGGCCCAUACACAUGCCAACUCUUCCCCCAUGACAACGAGCUUGCGUAUAGCGAGUCUAUGGUGAAAGCGUCGUGGAUUGUAAAGAAACACCUACGACGA